GGUGGCGCUGGUCACACGGAUUGUCAUCGUGCGCUCCAUGCUGUGCAGCCACAUCGUACGUGGACGAGGUCGAACCGGUCGCCCGCAAGGUGUUGAGAAAAGAAUCCUAGACACUUGAUUUCCUCAGUACAAGCAAACAGGGAAUAACCUGAGAUCUGCAAGAUUACAUCCUUGAGUAAUCAGAAGCCCCACUUUCAGAGGAAAACCCACCAACUGUACC
This is a long non-coding RNA of Lolium rigidum, 220 nucleotides long. RefSeq lists it as uncharacterized. The transcript has 3 exons. Lineage: Eukaryota; Viridiplantae; Streptophyta; Magnoliopsida; Poales; Poaceae. The record is from RefSeq and is a predicted model, not a curated record.